This 19-nucleotide microRNA is filed under the name Corchorus olitorius. RNAcentral's name for it is "hsa-miR-57". The record is from RNAcentral. Lineage: Eukaryota; Viridiplantae; Streptophyta; Magnoliopsida; Malvales; Malvaceae.
UUAUUGUUACAUUCUGAUU